Molecule: ribosomal RNA, 482 nt
Filed under: uncultured bacterium
Lineage: Bacteria
Description: partial 16S ribosomal RNA
Rfam family: Bacterial small subunit ribosomal RNA
Source: RNAcentral
AUUGAACGCUGGCGGCAUGCCUAACACAUGCAAGUCGAACGGUAACAGGUCUUCGGAUGCUGACGAGUGGCGGACGGGCGAGUAAGACAUCGGAACGUGCCCUAUCGUGGGGGAUAACGAGGGGAAAGCUAUGCUAAUACCGCAUACGAUCUACGGAUGACAGCGGGGGAUCUUCGUACCCCGCUCGGACGGAGCGGCCGGUGGCAGAUGAGGUAGGUGGUGGGCUAAACGCUUACCAAGCCGAAGAUCUGUAGCGGGUCUGAGCGGAUGAUCAGCCACACUGGAACUGGGACACGCCCCAGACUCCUACGGGAGGCACCAGUGGCGUAUUUUGGACAGUGGGCGAAAGCCUGAUCCAGCCAUGCCGCGUGCAGGAUGAAGGCCUUUGGGUUGUAAACUGCUUUUGUGCGGAACGAACAGCCUCUUUCUAAUAAAGAGGGGUCAUGACGGUACCGUAAGAAUAAGCACCGGCUAACUACGUG